AUUGAACGCUGGCGGCAGGCCUAACACAUGCAAGUCGAACGAGUGGCGGACGGGUGCGUAAUGUCUGGGAAACUGCCUGAUGGAGGGGGAUAACUACUGGAAACGGUAGCUAAUACCGCAUACCAUCGGAUGUGCCCAGAUGGGAUUAGCUAGUAGGUGGGGUAAAGGCUCACCUAGGCGACGAUCCCUAGCUGGUCUGAGAGGAUGACCAGCCAAACUGGAACUGCGGCACUGGCGAGACUCCUACGUGAGGCAGCAGUGGGGAAUAUUGCACAAUGGGCUCAAGCCUGAUGCAGCCAUUCCGCUUGUAUGAAGAAGGCCUUCGGGUUGUAAAGUACUUUCAGCUGGGAGGCGUUACCCGCAGAAGAAGCGCCGGCUAACUCCGUGCCAGCAGCCGCGGUAAUUC
This 406-nucleotide ribosomal RNA is filed under the name uncultured bacterium. RNAcentral's name for it is "partial 16S ribosomal RNA". It matches the Rfam family "Bacterial small subunit ribosomal RNA", at positions 30 to 526 of the family's 1533-position model. The record is from RNAcentral.